This 253-nucleotide ribosomal RNA is filed under the name uncultured bacterium. Its description in RNAcentral is "partial 16S ribosomal RNA". It matches the Rfam family "Bacterial small subunit ribosomal RNA", at positions 524 to 776 of the family's 1533-position model. The record is from RNAcentral.
GACAGAGGUGCCAAGCGUUAGGCGGAAUCACUGGGCUUAAAGCGUGUGUAGGUGGAUUUGUAAGUACCUUGUGAAAUCCCAUGGCUCAACCAUGGAACUGCUCGGUAUACUGCGAAUCUUGAGCCACUUAGGGGCUACCGGAACAAAUGGUGGAGCGGUGAAAUGCGUAGAUAUCAUUUGGAACGCCAAUGGUGAAAACAGGUAGCUGGGAGUGUGCUGACACUGAGACACGAAAGCCAGGGGAGCAAACAGG